AUGAACGCUGGCGGCGUGCUUAACACAUGCAAGUCGAACGAUGACCCCCAGCUUGCUGGGGUGAUUAGUGGCGAACGGGUGAGUAACACGUGAGUAACCUGCCCCUGACUCUGGGAUAAGCCCGGGAAACUGGGUCUAAUACUGGAUAUGCACCGUAAGCCGCAUGGCUUUUGGUGGAAAGAUUUUUUGGUCAGGGAUGGACUCGCGGCCUAUCAGCUUGUUGGUGAGGUAAUGGCUCACCAAGGCGACGACGGGUAGCCG
This 261-nucleotide ribosomal RNA is filed under the name Arthrobacter sp. ISO674_OTU3079. RNAcentral describes it as "partial 16S ribosomal RNA". It matches the Rfam family "Bacterial small subunit ribosomal RNA", at positions 29 to 289 of the family's 1533-position model. Lineage: Bacteria; Bacillati; Actinomycetota; Actinomycetes; Micrococcales; Micrococcaceae. The record is from RNAcentral.